RNAcentral lists this ribosomal RNA (939 nucleotides) under uncultured archaeon. RNAcentral describes it as "bacterial SSU rRNA". It matches the Rfam family "Archaeal small subunit ribosomal RNA", at positions 1 to 921 of the family's 1478-position model. The record is from RNAcentral.
UUCCGGUUGAUCCUGCCGGACCUUACUGCUAUCGGGGUGGGACUAAGACAUGCGAGUCGAGCGUCUCUAGCUAUGUUGAGACGCGGCAGACGGCUCAGUAACACGUGGCUAACCUACCCUCAGGACGAGGACAAACCCGGGAAACUGGGGCUAAUACUCGAUAGGUGAGUAUGUCUGGAAUGAUUUCUCACUCAAAGGGCUUUAGAAACAUGCUUCUAAAGUCGCCUGGGGAUGGGGCCGCGUCCGAUCAGGUUGUUGGUGAGGUAAUGGCUCACCAAGCCUAUAACCGGUACGGGCCGUGAGAGCGGUAGCCUGGAGAUGGGUACUGAGACAAGGACCCAGGCCCUACGGGGCGCAGCAGUCGCGAAAACUCCGCAAUGCACGAAAGUGUGACGGGGCUACCCCGAGUGCCAUCCGCUGAGGAUGGCUUUUCUUUGGUGUAACUAGCCGGGGGAAUAAGGAGAGGGCAAGACUGGUGUCAGCCGCCGCGGUAAUACCAGCUCUCCGAGUGGUAGGGAUGAUUAUUGGGCUUAAAGCGUCCGUAGCCGGCUUAGCAAGUCUCCUGUUAAAUUCAGCGACCUAAUCGUUGAGCCGCGGGAGAUACUACUAGGCUAGGAGGCGGGAGAGGUCGACGGUACUUCUGGGGUAGGGGUGAAAUCCUAUAAUCCCGGGAGGACCACCAGUGGCGAAGGCUGUUGACUAGAACGCGCUCGACGGUGAGGGACGAAAGCUGGGGGAGCGAACCGGAUUAGAUACCCGGGUAGUCCCAGCCGUAAACGAUGCGGGCUAGGUGUUGGGGUGGCUACGUGCCACUUCAGUGCCGCAGGAAGCCAUUAAGCCCGCCGCCUGGGGAGUACGGCCGCAAGGCUGAAACUUAAAGGGAUUGGCGGGGGAGCACCCACAGGCGGUGAAGCUUGCGGUUCAUGGACUCAACGCGGU